RNAcentral lists this ribosomal RNA (853 nucleotides) under Rhytidhysteron rufulum. RNAcentral's name for it is "eukaryotic LSU rRNA". It matches the Rfam family "Eukaryotic large subunit ribosomal RNA", at positions 49 to 922 of the family's 3401-position model. Lineage: Eukaryota; Fungi; Ascomycota; Dothideomycetes; Hysteriales; Hysteriaceae. The record is from RNAcentral.
AGCGGAGGAAAAGAAACCAACAGGGAUUGCCUUAGUAACGGCGAGUGAAGCGGCAGCAGCUCAAAUUUGAAAUCUGGCUCCUUCGGGGCCCGAGUUGUAAUUUGUAGAGGAUGCUUCGGCGUGGUCCCAGGUCUAAGUUCCUUGGAACAGGACGUCACAGAGGGUGAGAAUCCCGUACGUGGCCGUGGGUACCCGCCAUGUGAAGCUCCUUCGACGAGUCGAGUUGUUUGGGAAUGCAGCUCUAAAUGGGAGGUAAAUUUCUUCUAAAGCUAAAUACUGGCCAGAGACCGAUAGCGCACAAGUAGAGUGAUCGAAAGAUGAAAAGCACUUUGGAAAGAGAGUCAAAAAGUACGUGAAAUUGUUGAAAGGGAAGCGCUUGCAACCAGACCUGCCUGCGGUUGCUCAUCCGGGCUCUUGCCCGGUGCACUCUUCCGCAGUCAGGCCAGCAUCAGUUCUGGCGGUCGGAUAAAGGCGGCGGGAAUGUGGCUCCCCUCGGGGAGUGUUAUAGCCCGUCGUGUAAUGCGGCCAGCCGGGACUGAGGUCCGCGCUUCGGCUAGGAUGCUGGCGUAAUGGUUGUAAGCGGCCCGUCUUGAAACACGGACCAAGGAGUCUAACAUCUGUGCGAGUGUUUGGGUGUCAAGCCCAGGCGCGUAAUGAAAGUGAACGGAGGCGGGAACCUUCGGGUGCACCGUCGACCGAUCCUGAUGUCUUCGGAUGGAUUUGAGUAAGAGCAUAGCUGUUGGGACCCGAAAGAUGGUGAACUAUGCCUGAAUAGGGUGAAGCCAGAGGAAACUCUGGUGGAGGCUCGCAGCGGUUCUGACGUGCAAAUCGAUCGUCAAAUUUGGGCAUAGGG